Long non-coding RNA from Oryzias latipes (Japanese medaka), 1228 nucleotides. RefSeq lists it as uncharacterized. Lineage: Eukaryota; Metazoa; Chordata; Actinopteri; Beloniformes; Adrianichthyidae. The record is from RefSeq and is a predicted model, not a curated record.
CUGACCCGGGAGGAGGCUCAGCGCCAGGGCGACCCACAGCAGCCAUAUAUGGAUGGAGGGGGACUGCGCCUUGGCACUGAUGUCUGAAACAACAAAGGACACGAACACAAAAGAGUGGUAAUGGCAGCGUGGGCUGUGAAGUUGAGUGACUCUUUUUCUGCCAGAGGAACAUCGUCAAUGAGGAGUCACCUCUGAUAAGGCCAGAUGAGAAGGAGAGGCUGAAAACAGGUGUCAAAGUGGAAAGAGGGAGCACUGGGGAAAAACUCACUGGGUGGAGGGUCUCGACACCCUCCUUCCUCAAGGGUGACGUCGUCUAUGGCUAUGUCUCCCUCGAUUCCUGGACCACGGAUCCCUUCCAGAAUGACCUGCAAAGAGCAAAACAAGCCGCAAGUCGUCAAACUGGGUCACAGAGAGACGGAUGUGGCGUCACUCAGAUGCAGUGCCUACAGUAGAUGGUGAACCUCUCCGUACUGGCAGACAUAGAGUCCUGAUUACCAAUGUUUUAGUUGAGCACUUAAUAAAUCUGAUCUCUAAAAAUCAUGCUAGUGUUCCGUGAAUUGUAACUGAGACAUACAAUCAGUGCCUCCAUGUAGCGAUCAGGCUAAAAUCUGUUGAUGGAGCAAUUUUUUACACAAUUUUGGAAAAGCGUCUUGUAGUGAAUUUGACGGGUGUCAAAAAAGAGGCGUCCAAUGCAAAUUUGAUGCCCAAAUGCGUUUGGUGUGAACGCACCAUAAUGCACGAAGCACGAGCCUCUUUGCACAAAACUUAGUUUUAGCAAUUGACAAAAUAUUUAGAAUAAUCUUUUACAAGCUUGUUUUUCCUUUGCUUUUUGGAUUUGGGGGCAAACAAGACAGAUGCAUUGGUGUUCACAUUAAAUUUCCGUCUGCACCAGAAUGAGCUCUCUCUGAAAAAACUCAACUGAACUCUGAUAACAACUCACUUUGGCAACAAUGCUAUUAGCAAAAGUCCCAAUAGGAUUUUUUCCUACAGCAAAAUUAAUUAAAACAGUGAUUUUAUUAAAUAUUAUUACAAUUAUUAAAGCAUAGUUUAAUGCUAAAACACAUUACAGCUAAAUUCUAUGUAAAUUAUUUUGGUGGUAACUAAUUACAGCAAUUCUGUAACGGAAACGCUGCCGCUCUUUUGUGACCAACAUUCCCCUUUUGGAUGUGCUGAGUCAGGGUGCAGACUCAAAGGAGGUGAACACCUCAUAAACACAGACAGAUGAGAU